CAACCCGGGAUUGCCUUAGUAACGGCGAGUGAAGCGGCAAAAGCUCAAAUUUGAAAUCUGGUACCUUCGGUGCCCGAGUUGUAAUUUGGAGAGGGCAACUUUGGGGCCGUUCCUUGUCUAUGUUCCUUGGAACAGGACGUCAUAGAGGGUGAGAAUCCCGUGUGGCGAGGAGUGCGGUUCUUUGUAAAGUGCCUUCGAAGAGUCGAGUUGUUUGGGAAUGCAGCUCUAAGUGGGUGGUAAAUUCCAUCUAAAGCUAAAUAUUGGCGAGAGACCGAUAGCGAACAAGUACAGUGAUGGAAAGAUGAAAAGAACUUUGAAAAGAGAGUGAAAAAGUACGUGAAAUUGUUGAAAGGGAAGGGCAUUUGAUCAGACAUGGUGUUUUGUGCCCUCUGCUCCUUGUGGGUAGGGGAAUCUCGCAUUUCACUGGGCCAGCAUCAGUUUUGGUGGCAGGAUAAAUCCAUAGGAAUGUAGCUUGCCUCGGUAAGUAUUAUAGCCUGUGGGAAUACUGCCAGCUGGGACUGAGGACUGCGACGUAAGUCAAGGAUGCUGGCAUAAUGGUUAUAUGCCGCCCGUCUUGAACC
Molecule: ribosomal RNA, 581 nt
Filed under: Saccharomyces cerevisiae (brewer's yeast)
Lineage: Eukaryota; Fungi; Ascomycota; Saccharomycetes; Saccharomycetales; Saccharomycetaceae
Description: LSU rRNA
Rfam family: Eukaryotic large subunit ribosomal RNA
Source: RNAcentral